Molecule: ribosomal RNA, 506 nt
Filed under: uncultured bacterium
Lineage: Bacteria
Description: partial 16S ribosomal RNA
Rfam family: Bacterial small subunit ribosomal RNA
Source: RNAcentral
AGUGAACGCUGGCGGUAGGCCUAACACAUGCAAGUCGAACGGCAGCACAGAGGAGCUUGCUCCUUGGGUGGCGAGUGGCGGACGGGUGAGGAAUACAUCGGAAUCUACUCUGUCGUGGGGGAUAACGUAGGGAAACUUACGCUAAUACCGCAUACGACCUACGGGUGCAAGCAGGGGAUCUUCGGACCUUGCGCGAUUGAAUGAGCCGAUGUCGGAUUAGCGAGUUGGCGGGGUAAAGGCCCACCAAGGCGACGAUCCGUAGCUGGUCUGAGGGGAUGAUCAGCCACACGGGAACGGGGACACGGUCCAGACUCCUGCGGGAGGCAGCAGUGGGGAAUAUUGGACGAUGGGCGCAAGCCGGAUCCAGCCAUACCGCGUGGGUGAAGAAGGCCUUCUGGUUGUGAAGCCCUUUUGUUGGGAGAGAAAUCCAUCUGGUUAAUACCCGGGUGGGAUGACGGUACCCAAAGAAUAAGCACCGGCUAACUUCGUGCCAUCCGCCGCCGUAA